CACGUAUACCAAUGUGUGAAAAUUUUUUUAUCAAGAUGCUUCUUCAAGUAUGUUGCAGCAACUUGAUCUCUAAGUCCUAUGGCCUCACCUAACAGUUAUUGGCACAUUUCUUAAUUAAGUUCGAUCCACCAUUCACCAGUGAGUGUAGAGCCAUCAUUGGAUCCCUCACCUAAUAGUUAUUGAGCUCAACCCCAUCUUUACCUCGGGGCAUCUAAUGCCAAUAAAGUGGUUGUGUCUUCCUGAUGCAACCGAACCACUGUAACC
This 264-nucleotide long non-coding RNA is filed under the name Elaeis guineensis (African oil palm). Its description in RNAcentral is "long non-coding RNA (EGUI_LNC043005)". The record is from RNAcentral. Lineage: Eukaryota; Viridiplantae; Streptophyta; Magnoliopsida; Arecales; Arecaceae.